AGCGAACGCUGGCGGCAGGCUUAAAACAUGCCAGUCGAGCGGGCAUCCUUGUGGUGUCAGCGGCAGACGGGUGAGUAAAGCGUGGGAACGUGCCCUUCGGUUCGGAAUAACUCAGGGGAACUUGAGCUAAUACCGGAUACGUGCGAGAGCAGAAAGGUUUAUCUGCCGAAGGAUCGGCCCGCGUCUGAUUAGCUAGUUGGUGAGGUUACGGCUCACCAAGGCGACGAUCAGUGGCUGGUCUGAGAGGAUGAUCAGCCACACUGGGACUGAGACACGGCCCAGACUCCUACGGGAGGCAGCAGUGGGGAAUAUUGGACAAUGGGGGCAACCCUGAUCCAGCCAUGCCGCGUGAGUGAUGACGGCCUUAGGGUUGUAAAGCUCUUUUCUCCGGGACGAUAAUGACGGUACCGGAGGAAUAAGCCCCGGCUAACUUCGUG
Molecule: ribosomal RNA, 437 nt
Filed under: uncultured bacterium
Lineage: Bacteria
Description: partial 16S ribosomal RNA
Rfam family: Bacterial small subunit ribosomal RNA
Source: RNAcentral